Molecule: long non-coding RNA, 286 nt
Filed under: Helianthus annuus (common sunflower)
Lineage: Eukaryota; Viridiplantae; Streptophyta; Magnoliopsida; Asterales; Asteraceae
Description: hypothetical non coding rna
Rfam family: Small nucleolar RNA snoR77 (bases 160-286)
Source: RNAcentral
GGCGAAGAUGAUUGAUUGCUUAAUAUUCUGACACCUCUUGUAUGAGAAUGGCCUUCAAAAGCUGUUCAUUGAGCACAUAAAGCACCUCUCUGAGCCUAUUUCUUUUUUAUAUUUUUGUAUCUAAAUGUUUUAUUUUAUUAGUGUAUCGAUCAGAAAUUCAGGCAACCACCUUUUGUAAAUUACUCGAAAGGUAGGUGUUGUUCUGCUCGUAAAUUAAUUUCUUUUGCUCUUCAGACUUGUUGAGAUUUAUAGUCUAUGAAACCGGUCUAGUAAGCAUUAGAACAUU